UACGAACCGGCCAAACGUUAAUCGGAAUUACUGGGCGUAAAGCGUGCGCAGGCGGUUAUGGAAGAAAGAUGUGAAAUCCCCGGGCUUAACCUGGGAACUGCAUUUGUGACUGCAUAGCUGGAGUGCGGCAGAGGGGGAUGGAAUUCCGCGUGUAGCAGUGAAAUGCGUAGAUAUGCGGAGGAACACCGAUGGCGAAGGCAAUCCCCUGGGCCUGCACUGACGCUCAUGCACGAAAGCGUGGGGAGCAAACAGG
This 253-nucleotide ribosomal RNA is filed under the name uncultured bacterium. RNAcentral's name for it is "partial 16S ribosomal RNA". It matches the Rfam family "Bacterial small subunit ribosomal RNA", at positions 524 to 776 of the family's 1533-position model. The record is from RNAcentral.